This 1035-nucleotide long non-coding RNA is filed under the name Sorghum bicolor (sorghum). RNAcentral describes it as "long non-coding RNA (SBIC_LNC011453)". Lineage: Eukaryota; Viridiplantae; Streptophyta; Magnoliopsida; Poales; Poaceae. The record is from RNAcentral.
ACACACUGUGACGCCUUGUUUAGUUCAAAAAAUUUUUUAGAUUUUAAUACUGUAGCAAUUUCGUUUUUAUUUAAUAAAAAUUAUCUAAUUAUAAAGUAACUAGGUUUAAAAGAUUCGUCUCGUAAUUUAUAGGUAAACUGUAUGAUUAGUGCAAUUUACAGACAAUAAUUAUCACAAAUAAACGAAAGUGCCAUCAGGAAACACAAAGAAAGCAGGGAGUGGACUGUUUUGUGAGACAUGGAGCACCCGCCAUGAUGCGUGGCGGGGUUGCAUCCCGCCAUGAUGCCUGGCGGGGUACUUUUUGCCACGUACCCCGCCACGUGUUAGCCACGUCAGCAUGUGUCCUCUAAAUCAUGCCACGUCAGUAGUAGUACCCCGCCGCCAUGCAUGGCGGGGUUCUGUGCAUUUGCCCCGCCAUGCAUGGUGGCGGAUCCAAACGGCCUAGUUUUGAAAAUAUUUUCAUAAACGGAUCAAAUUUAGGCUAAAAAUAAAAAAAAAUCUCCCUAGCUGCAGUGUACAAAUCAAUGCUCAGAGCUUCUCUAGCUUUCCGGUUCCAAGUGGCUUGUCUUACAGCCUGUUCUGUUUCAGUAUAAUUGGCAUGUAGUAUGUGCUAGUAGUUCUUAUUCUACUCCUCUGCUUCCCCAAUAUGAUAAGCAUGCAGUCUGAUGAACCACGCUGGCCCAGUAUGCACGCUGCCUGCAGCAUGCAUGUCACAUUCAUAGAUGUAUAGAAAUAGAAUAACGAGCGUUCUUGCCUGUUUCCACCGCGGAGAGUCGAUCGAAGACAGGCAGAGGGACAAAAAUCACGCGAUUUCUCAUGUGACCACAGAUCAGCUGUAACUGUAAGAAAAACAACCUGAUUACGCGUAUCAUAUUUGAGACAUAUAGUAGUGCAAGUUGCUGAUUAAUUAGAUGACUCUCUGUUACCCAAGUAUUUACCGCAUAAAGUAAUGCCAUUUGCAGGUCCAUCGCUGUUAGUUCACCUCUCUUGUGAAUUGUGAUCACAGUAUACUUUAUUUGCUCUGCCAGCCAUCGC